This 68-nucleotide non-coding RNA is filed under the name Clostridiaceae bacterium. Lineage: Bacteria; Bacillati; Bacillota; Clostridia; Eubacteriales; Clostridiaceae. The record is from RNAcentral.
UGUCGAAACUCCCCCAUUGUGGGGAGUCUGACGGGGACGGCCUACCGUCACUGAUGAGACAGGCCACA